UCAAAAUACAGUAUUACCGUGGUUAAACAUCUUUCUCCUUUCCCUUUUGUCUUUUUGCAGAAAUAUGAGCAGUAAUCAUAAAGCCUGGAAAGGAUGUGCUGACCGAAGUCUUUAUGAGAUUUUUAAUGAGGAUUAGGAAAUCUGAGAUAGCAAAAUCUACUGUAUACAAAGAGGUUGUUGUGCAUGAAUCUUCAGACAAGUUUUAGAUCAGAAUCCUUUGUCAGCAACAGUAGGAUCCAGGAUAUCACAUGUAUGGAAAGUAAAACUGGUGGAUCAAAAGACAACAUAAGAAAAGCGGGCUGGAUGCUCUAUUUCCAUCUUACAGCUGGUUAGAAACAAGCAAGCUGUUAGUUACAAGUAAAUUGGCCCCUUGUGACAGCACCCUCAAGAUGCGCAGAAGCAACGACUCCAGAAUGUCAUGUCAGGUCUGAAGGAGAUGGAUGGCAGCUGGAAUGGGGGACCAAUGGGAGCAUUUAAACACAGCAGCUACUGAGAGACCAAGUCAGAAAUCAGGAGAAUGAAGAUGAUCAAAGGGGAACAUGAGGGCAUUGGAGUGGGGAGGAGCAGGGACUCCUAUGAAUAAGAGCUGGAUGUAUCCCAGACAGAAGUGUAAUGUCAAGAUGCCUACAAAGCAGAUGCUGGGAACAAAUUACUUUUAAUUUUUUAAUAUGUAUAUCCAGAAUGUAUUAUCAUCAGACUGAGAGAGGGAGCUUAGCCC
RNAcentral lists this long non-coding RNA (718 nucleotides) under Parus major (Great Tit). Its description in RNAcentral is "lncRNA (ENSPMJG00000000823.1)". Lineage: Eukaryota; Metazoa; Chordata; Aves; Passeriformes; Paridae. The record is from RNAcentral.